This is a non-coding RNA of Paramuricea clavata, 816 nucleotides long. NCBI's taxonomy places the organism in Eukaryota, Metazoa, Cnidaria, Anthozoa, Malacalcyonacea, Plexauridae. The record is from the annotation of a GenBank genome assembly.
CCCAAGUUUAAUAAGUUUAACAUAUUUCAAAACUGGUGUAAAAGCAAUAAUAAUAGAGUUGUAAAAUCAAAAACCUCGCUAGCGGUUUGACGUUUGCCGUAAACGUCAAUCUUAAGGUGUCUAAUAGAUGAGGGUUCCCUACACUCUGGUUAAUAUUUUUCUGGUCAAUCUAGAAACAGCCCUAUUUGGGUUAACUUAGUAUUCCUGGUUAAAUUUCGUGAUUAACUUGACCAGGACUUCCUGAUUAACCAGACUACGUUGGUGGUCAAAUAGCCGGGGGCUCUUGUAGUACAUCCACCUAGCACAGUCUGGUUAUUUUAACAAGGACGACCUGGUCAAAUAUAACCAGUUUCUGGGUAUAAAAUAACCAGGAAAUUUAACCAGGAUUAUUGUUAUUUGUGUAGGUUUACCAAGAAUGUUUUUAGAAUGUACCAAUAAGGCAAUUGGGCAAAUCAAACUUGGGUUAUCAUAUCAUGUUUUAUUGUUUUACAGAAAAGAAACGCCGUGACAUGUUAACGCCCGAGAGUUCACCGAUUGCAAGGCCGUCGUUAUACGGAAGAUUACAAAAUUGGUUUUUUAACGAAGAUUAAUGGGAGUAACGAAAGAAUGCUCAGCUGGUGUGUAAUUUCCUGGUGUGUAAUUUCCUGGUGUGUAAUUUCCUGGCUUUAAAAGUAACUAUUAUUAAGUAUGUAUCGUAUACAGAGUACGCUUGUCAUCCGAAUGUAAUUAUAUGAUUAUAACAUUUAAAGAACCAAAUGCAUAACUUGCGUGAAUGUAAUAUAAACCCUUAUUAAUUAAAGAGUUAUUUGAAUGAAA